RNAcentral lists this ribosomal RNA (253 nucleotides) under uncultured bacterium. RNAcentral describes it as "partial 16S ribosomal RNA". It matches the Rfam family "Bacterial small subunit ribosomal RNA", at positions 524 to 776 of the family's 1533-position model. The record is from RNAcentral.
UAAGAAAGGAGCUAGCGUUCUUCGGAAUUACUGGGCGUAAAGCGCACGUAGGCGGCCUUGUAAGAUGGGGGUGAAAUCCCCGGGCUCAACCCGGGAACUGCCUUCAUGACUGCAAAGCUAGAGGAUGCGAGAGGUUAGCGGAAUUCCGAGUGUAGAGGUGAAAUUCGUAGAUAUUCGGAAGAACACCAGUGGCGAAGGCGGCUAACUGGCGCAUUUCUGACGCUGAGGUGCGAAAGCGUGGGGAGCAAACAGG